AAUCUGCCCCCAUGUCCGUCGGCGAUGCCGACAACAUGCCCAGGUAGCCCAGACCCUCAAGGCUACGGUGCGUUGCGCCGCACUGGUCUUUCUCUUCGCCAAGCCGUUCCCGGCGCUUUCUUCCACCCCUUGGGGCAGCGUCUGC
Thauera terpenica 58Eu is the source of this 145-nucleotide regulatory RNA element. It matches the Rfam family "radC RNA". The record is from Rfam. NCBI's taxonomy places the organism in Bacteria, Pseudomonadati, Pseudomonadota, Betaproteobacteria, Rhodocyclales, Zoogloeaceae.